GGGGGGUGACUCGGGCGGAGCGAGCGGUCUGUAAAACCGUCGGCUCAGCCUACGUUGGUUCGAACCCAACACCUGCCACCA
Molecule: transfer RNA, 81 nt
Filed under: Actinomycetota bacterium
Lineage: Bacteria; Bacillati; Actinomycetota
Description: tRNA-Tyr
Rfam family: tRNA
About the family: Transfer RNA (tRNA) molecules are approximately 80 nucleotides in length. Their secondary structure includes four short double-helical elements and three loops (D, anti-codon, and T loops). Further hydrogen bonds mediate the characteristic L-shaped molecular structure. tRNAs have two regions of fundamental functional importance: the anti-codon, which is responsible for specific mRNA codon recognition, and the 3' end, to which the tRNAs corresponding amino acid is attached (by aminoacyl-tRNA synthetases). tRNAs cope with the degeneracy of the genetic code in two manners: having more than one tRNA (with a specific anti-codon) for a particular amino acid; and 'wobble' base-pairing, i.e. permitting non-standard base-pairing at the 3rd anti-codon position.
Source: RNAcentral